This 1488-nucleotide ribosomal RNA is filed under the name Staphylococcus aureus. RNAcentral's name for it is "partial 16S ribosomal RNA". It matches the Rfam family "Bacterial small subunit ribosomal RNA". Lineage: Bacteria; Bacillati; Bacillota; Bacilli; Caryophanales; Staphylococcaceae. The record is from RNAcentral.
GGAUGAACGCUGGCGGCGUGCCUAAUACAUGCAAGUCGAGCGAACGGACGAGAAGCUUGCUUCUCUGAUGUUAGCGGCGGACGGGUGAGUAACACGUGGAUAACCUACCUAUAAGACUGGGAUAACUUCGGGAAACCGGAGCUAAUACCGGAUAAUAUUUUGAACCGCAUGGUUCAAAAGUGAAAGACGGUCUUGCUGUCACUUAUAGAUGGAUCCGCGCUGCAUUAGCUAGUUGGUAAGGUAACGGCUUACCAAGGCAACGAUGCAUAGCCGACCUGAGAGGGUGAUCGGCCACACUGGAACUGAGACACGGUCCAGACUCCUACGGGAGGCAGCAGUAGGGAAUCUUCCGCAAUGGGCGAAAGCCUGACGGAGCAACGCCGCGUGAGUGAUGAAGGUCUUCGGAUCGUAAAACUCUGUUAUUAGGGAAGAACAUAUGUGUAAGUAACUGUGCACAUCUUGACGGUACCUAAUCAGAAAGCCACGGCUAACUACGUGCCAGCAGCCGCGGUAAUACGUAGGUGGCAAGCGUUAUCCGGAAUUAUUGGGCGUAAAGCGCGCGUAGGCGGUUUUUUAAGUCUGAUGUGAAAGCCCACGGCUCAACCGUGGAGGGUCAUUGGAAACUGGAAAACUUGAGUGCAGAAGAGGAAAGUGGAAUUCCAUGUGUAGCGGUGAAAUGCGCAGAGAUAUGGAGGAACACCAGUGGCGAAGGCGACUUUCUGGUCUGUAACUGACGCUGAUGUGCGAAAGCGUGGGGAUCAAACAGGAUUAGAUACCCUGGUAGUCCACGCCGUAAACGAUGAGUGCUAAGUGUUAGGGGGUUUCCGCCCCUUAGUGCUGCAGCUAACGCAUUAAGCACUCCGCCUGGGGAGUACGACCGCAAGGUUGAAACUCAAAGGAAUUGACGGGGACCCGCACAAGCGGUGGAGCAUGUGGUUUAAUUCGAAGCAACGCGAAGAACCUUACCAAAUCUUGACAUCCUUUGACAACUCUAGAGAUAGAGCUUUCCCCUUCGGGGGACAAAGUGACAGGUGGUGCAUGGUUGUCGUCAGCUCGUGUCGUGAGAUGUUGGGUUAAGUCCCGCAACGAGCGCAACCCUUAAGCUUAGUUGCCAUCAUUAAGUUGGGCACUCUAAGUUGACUGCCGGUGACAAACCGGAGGAAGGUGGGGAUGACGUCAAAUCAUCAUGCCCCUUAUGAUUUGGGCUACACACGUGCUACAAUGGACAAUACAAAGGGCAGCGAAACCGCGAGGUCAAGCAAAUCCCAUAAAGUUGUUCUCAGUUCGGAUUGUAGUCUGCAACUCGACUACAUGAAGCUGGAAUCGCUAGUAAUCGUAGAUCAGCAUGCUACGGUGAAUACGUUCCCGGGUCUUGUACACACCGCCCGUCACACCACGAGAGUUUGUAACACCCGAAGCCGGUGGAGUAACCUUUUAGGAGCUAGCCGUCGAAGGUGGGACAAAUGAUUGGGGUGAAGUCGUAACAAG